CAGCCGCCGCGGGAACACGUAGGGUGCAAGCGUUAAUCGGAAUUACUGGGCGUAAAGCGUGCGCAGGCGGUUAUAUAAGACAGAUGUGAAAUCCCCGGGCUCAACCUGGGAAAUGCAUUUGUGACUGUAUAGCUAGAGUACGGCAGAGGGGGAUGGAAUUCCGCGUGUAGCAGUGAAAUGCGUAGAUAUGCGGAGGAACACCGAUGGCGAAGGCAAUCCCCUGGGCCUGUACUGACGCUCAUGCACGAAAGCGUGGGGAGCAAACAGGAUUAGAUACCCGAGUAGUCCCUGUCUCUUAUAC
RNAcentral lists this ribosomal RNA (301 nucleotides) under uncultured bacterium. Its description in RNAcentral is "partial 16S ribosomal RNA". It matches the Rfam family "Bacterial small subunit ribosomal RNA", at positions 509 to 807 of the family's 1533-position model. The record is from RNAcentral.